GUGGGGAAUUUUGCGCAAUGGGCGAAAGCCUGACGCAGCGACGCCGCGUGAGGGAAGAAGGUUCUCGGAUCGUAAACCUCUGUCGUAGGGGAAGAAACCCCAGGGUGCUAAUACCAUCCUGGAUUGACGGUACCCUUUGAGGAAGCAUCGGCUAACUACGUGCCAGCAGCCGCGGUAAUACGUAGGAUGCAAGCGUUGUUCGGAAUUAUUGGGUGUAAAGGGCGCGUAGGCGGCUUGGCCAGUCACGGGUGAAAGCCCCCGGCUUAACCGGGGAAUUGCCCGUGAUACUACCAAGCUCGAGUACGGGAGAGGGAAGUGGAAUUCCUGGUGUAGCGGUGAAAUGCGUAGAUAUCAGGAGGAACACCGGUGGCGAAGGCGGCUUCCUGGACCGAUACUGACGCUGAGGCGCGAAAGCGUGGGUAGCAAACAGGAUUAGAUACCCCUGUAGUCC
This 451-nucleotide ribosomal RNA is filed under the name uncultured bacterium. RNAcentral describes it as "bacterial SSU rRNA". It matches the Rfam family "Bacterial small subunit ribosomal RNA", at positions 354 to 796 of the family's 1533-position model. The record is from RNAcentral.